Molecule: transfer RNA, 78 nt
Filed under: Marmota monax (woodchuck)
Lineage: Eukaryota; Metazoa; Chordata; Mammalia; Rodentia; Sciuridae
Description: tRNA.Thr
Source: RNAcentral
GGGGUUGUGGCUCAGUGGUAGAGUGCUUGCCUGGUAGAGUGCAUGUGUGAGGCACUGGGUUCACUCCUCAGCACCACA